UACGUAGGGUGCAAGCGUUGUCCGGAAUUAUUGGGCGUAAAGAGCUCGUAGGCGGUUUGUCGCGUCGGCUGUGAAAACUCGGGGCUCAACCCCGAGCCUGCAGUCGAUACGGGCAAACUUGAGUGUGGUAGGGGAGACUGGAAUUCCUGGUGUAGCGGUGAAAUGCGCAGAUAUCGUCAAGAACACCGAUAGCGAAGGCAGCUUACUAGGCUGUAACUGACGCUGAGGCACGAAAGUGUGGGGAGCAAACAGG
This 253-nucleotide ribosomal RNA is filed under the name uncultured bacterium. RNAcentral's name for it is "partial 16S ribosomal RNA". It matches the Rfam family "Bacterial small subunit ribosomal RNA", at positions 524 to 776 of the family's 1533-position model. The record is from RNAcentral.